CAGUGGGACAGGUGGUGCAUGGCUGUCGUCAGCUCGUGUCGUGAGAUGUUGGGUUAAGUCCCGCAACGAGCGCNACCCUUGUCAUUAGUUGGUACGAAAGGGCACUGUAAUGAGASUGCCGGUGACAAACCGGAGGAAGGUGGGGAUGACGUCAAGUCCUCAUGGCCCUUAUAGGUGGGGCKACACACGUCRUACAAUGGCCGGUACAAAGGGUAGCCAACCCGCGAGGGGGAGCCAAUCCCACAAAGCCGGUCGUAGUCCGGAUSGCAGUSUGCAACUGGACUGCGUGAAGUCGGAAUCGCUAGUAAUCGUGGAUCAGCAUGUCACGGUGAAUACGUUCCCGGGCCUUGUACACACCGCCCGUCACACCAUGGGAGUGGGUUGCUCCAGAAGUAGCUAGUCUAACCGCAAGGGGGACGUUACCACGGAGUGAUCAUGAC
Molecule: ribosomal RNA, 440 nt
Filed under: uncultured bacterium
Lineage: Bacteria
Description: bacterial SSU rRNA
Rfam family: Bacterial small subunit ribosomal RNA
Source: RNAcentral